Molecule: non-coding RNA, 1410 nt
Organism: Arachis ipaensis
Lineage: Eukaryota; Viridiplantae; Streptophyta; Magnoliopsida; Fabales; Fabaceae
Source: RefSeq, a predicted model, not a curated record
CGAAAAGAGAAGAAAGAAAAUUUCCCUUUCCACCACGCGCCGCUUCCUCCUUCACCUGCGAGCUUCCCCAAACCCUCUCCAUCCCUUGUUUCUCUUCACUUUCUUGCUCUCUCUUUUCUUCAUCAAUGAAAGAUUGAUUUCGCUACUGGCCUAGGUUAACUCGUGUAACCAUUGCCAUCGCCGACCACCACCACCACGACGGUAACCAUUGACGAUAGCCACCAUCCAUCAUCCUACUCUUUGGACUUUGUUUCCAUCCAAUCCGCCUCAGAUUUGCAUCUCUGUCAUCGUUUGUUCAUCUCAGACGUCGCCAAGGGCUUUCAGCCACCAUUGCUGCUCUUAUCGCAACACCACACCUCCGUCGCUUGCACCGCCACCGUUCUUUGCAUGUAGACGCACAAGAUCAUCACCGCCGGUUGGGGUUAUGGCUUUUGUCACAGGUUGAGCCCUCAGAGAUAUUUUUGAAAUCUAUAUCGAAUGAAGUCACUAGCGUCGAAGUCAUUUACCCUUCAAGUCUGAAUGCACAAUUGUUCGCCGAAGAUUAGGACAUAUUGCUCUGAGGUUUUAACUUUGCCUAGUAUCGCAUUCUUCUGGGUUUCAUUUUGGGCUUAUUCUCAUUGGAGAGCCCUUCAGGAUAUGUAGGUUUAAUAUAGCUACAUUAUGAAAAGCUACAUAAUGCCAUUAGCAAACUUAAGCAGCAAUUCCCUUCAGCAAUGUUUAAGCUUUCCAGAUAAAAUUGCAGGGACAAAGCCAGAGUUCCGAUGGCAACUUUGUGCUCGAGUUGGACUUUGAGCCUUUUAACACAUCCUUUUUCCGCCCAACACUUAACAAGUCAAUUGGGAAUGGCGUUGAGUUUUUUAAUGGCCACCUUUCCGCUAAGCUUUUCCAUGGCAAGGAGAGCAUGCAGCCAUUGCUGGAGUUCCUAAGGCUUCAUAUUUACAAUGGAAAGGUGGGACAAUGAUCUGUAACUACCUCUGAAGACAUUCUUUGGAAGGAUCCAUAUGGUCUUCAAUGUGGUGAUCCUUUCUCCCCGUGGUUACUUUGCUCAAGACAAUGUCUUGGGAUACCCUAAUACUGGUGGCCAGGUUUUUUACAUCUUGGAUCAAGUUCGUGCAUUGGAGAAUGAGAUGCUCAACCGCAUCAACAAACAAGGCUUGGACAUCACCCCUCACAUUCUCAUUAUAUCUCCCUAUUCCAGAUGUAAAUAUUUAGCUGACUUGUAUAUAGUGAAUCGAUUUUCACUAACUUGAGCCUGUGAUUGCUUUUAAAAUCUAUUUUCACCCCGUGAUUUUUACUAAUAUUUAACCUAUCAUUGGGAUUGGUUUAUAGCCUAACUUAAUGUAACAUAGUUAUAGACUUGUAGCAUUUUUUAUUAUUUAGAUUUGUAACAUGAUUUAUUACUUUUCAAGA